ACUCGGUCUUGUCUCGAUCUUGAAGGUGUUUGGACUCGGUCUUGUCUCAGUCUUGAAGGUGUUUGGACUCGGUCUUGUCUCGAUCUUGAAGGUGUUUGGACUCACUCUUGUCUCGAUCUUGAAGGUGUUUGGACUCACUCUUGUCUCGAUCUUGAAGGCGCUUGGACUCGGUCUUGUCUCUGUCUCGAGGUCUGACACUCAAGUAAGUAAUAAAAUGGAGAUAGAUUUAUAAAAACGUUGAUAUAUAUGUGCCAAAAUAACUAUAAAAUACAAAUAAAUGUCAAUUACAACGAUGGUCUCGAUUUGGUCUCGAUGGGCCGUGAAUUUGGUCUUGUCUCGGUCUCGACCUUUAAACGUCUCGGUCUUGUCUCGGUCUUGACCCUCAGAGGUUUUGGUCUUCGCCCGGUCUCGGGACUCUGUGGUCUUAGACAGGUCUUGGUCUCGAUUAGUGCAAAACUACUAGAAUCAUUUGGAUAAUUUCAGAUCUGGAUUUGCCCAUCUCCACUGAACUGAAGUUAAAAGGUGGCGGUUCACGUGAAAACUACCACUACAUGACAUCACAAGGUGGAACAGACCAGCUUUAGAUUUAGACAGACUAAUAAUAAAGAUGUUUUUGACGAGGUAACAACAUUUUAACAUGGCUUAAAGCUCACAAGAGUCAAUUUUGCGUAAUAAUACAGGACCUUUUAAAGCGGCUGUACCUGAUUAAGUAGGAAGAUCAUUUUAAUGCCAAUCUGGAACAUUCCAGGCAAAGCAAAAAUAUCUCAGUGGAGACGAACAGGUGGCAGAAAAGUUUACACAGUGCAAAUUUAAAUGAAUACGCUCAAGUUUUGAUUUUGUACACUAUUUGACACACACGCUGUAUUUCCACUGUCAUUUUUUUAGCUGGAUGUAAAAUAUGACUUGCGACCACACUGUCAAAGGAGGAGGCGGCGGAGGUUAAACUUGUUUUUAUCUCACGCAAACCCUUCGCUUCAUCCUGAUAGUUCAUGUUCAGAAAUGCGUUAUAGGUUUGUUUACUUCGUUGAGUUCAAAAUGACGCACUUUGGGCCACGCCGUUAACGGUAAAAGCUGGACUGAACAUUUUCAUUUGCAGGUUUUUGUACGAGGACCAUAAAGGGAUAAAAGCAUGGCAAUUCCAGCUUUUGUUAGACACGUUGUUGGAUAAUAUUUAAGAAAUCAACAGUCAGGGACUAUUCCAGACAGUUGUUUCUCUCUUAAGAUGCAACAUUAGCGUGGAAGAAACUAAAUGGGCGGGGUUUAUAGUUCAGACUGACACAUGUUCCUCAGUCAUGGUUCAAAAAUUGGUUCAAUGUUUUUUUUUCAUCUACUUUAAAGAGACAGUGCAGAGUUUUGGACAUAGGGCCUCUUUUCCUAGUGAGCCAGAGUGUCGGAGACGUUUGGAGACACUUUUUUAAAUAUUCCAUCCAGUCCUUGUAUUUACAGAGAUUAGGGUUAGGGUUAGGUUAGUUUAUUCGUACCCGUAGGUAAAUUUGCUUUGCAGAUUUGAGAGGCAGGCCCCACAUUUCACAUUUCAUUCAUCCACAAAACACGUAUAAAAACACAAUUACAAAAUAAAGUGUUACAGAGCUCCAGUGCAGAACGGUUUGUUCCAUAAACAAUUAGUUAAAUUUAUCCAUCACGCUUGGCUAAAUUCACAAUAAAUAUUAAAUAUGUUAAAAACACACAAUCUUAGAUAAAUAGAUGACAAUUUAUUCAUAAGUACAAUAGCAGCCGGAACGAAGCUCCUUUUAAACGAUUUGUUCUAGAUCUUGGGACUAAAAGCCUCUGACCGGAGGGAAGCAGCUGAAACUCUGAGUUUAGUGGAUGUUGCACGUCUUUUAAAAUACUCUGGGACGUCCUCUGUAACUGUCUCGAGUACAGAGAGUCCAGGCGGCUCUGAGGAUGGACAAUCACCUCACUCGCCCCGUUUAACCAACUGAUUCAGGGAGUUCUUGUUUUUAGCAGAAAUGCUCCCAAACCAUGAGACCAAUGAAAACCAUGAGAUCACUGGUGUCUUACCCACUCCACAAAGACAAACGAACAAAGCCAAACGAACAAAGCCAAAUGAACAAAGCCAAACAAUCCUUAAAAAAGAAAAGUAAACCAGUUGUACUUACCUAACACAUAUAUGUACCAAAAUAACUAUAAAAUACAAAUAAAUGUUGAGAAUUACAAAGAUGGUCUCGAUUUGAUCUCGAUGGGUCAUGGUCUCGACCCUCAGAGGUCUUGGUCUUGUCCUGGUCUCGGGACUCUGUGGUCUUAGACUCUGUGGUCUUGGUCUCGAUUAGUGCGGUCUUGACUACAACACUACUAGAAUCUGGAUUUGGAUAAUUUCAGAUCUUGAUUUGCCCAUCUCUGCUGUACUAAAGUUAAAAGUGAGCAGUUAACAUGAAAAAUACCACUACAUGACAUCACAAUGUGGAACAGACCCGCUUUGGAGAUGUAGACAGACUAAUAAUACAAGGUAAUAAUAAUAAUAACAUUUACAUCGACAGUCUGGCGUAAUAAUUGUUUUGCUUCGGGUGUUUUGUGGAGUGGGUAAGACUGUUUUUAGUGGCAGGAUAAACUAUGGACAUUGACAUGCACUAGUCUAGCACCAGCGACCUCUGCAAAUACAAGGACUGGAUGGAAUAUUUAAAAAUGUGUCUAGGAAAUUAGGUCCUAUGUCCAAAAUUCCAGGCUGUCCCUUUAACUGUACGGAGCCUUUAAAGACUGAAGGACUAUGUGUGUUUUCUGUUAACUUCCACCUGCUUUUGUAUUGGUAUUUUGCAGUGACGUUAUGAUGGGUUUGUGCUACAUAUAUUUGACUAGGCUCUGUUCACGUUUACCAGAAGACGUUUGGAAACAUGCACAUGACGAUUUCCAGUGUAGUUACCGACAAUGGGCGUGUCAUAAAACCGUGGAUUCAGCAGCAGCAGCAGCAGCAGCGUCUUCACAACCUGCCAAAGCUUUCCACGGGGGACGGGACUCUAAUCGCGUCUUCGAUGUCACUCACAGGCAGCUGGUUGGAACUGUUGAUCUGCUGAACAUAACAUCUUUUUUAUGAAGUUAGGCAAAUUAUAAUACACCAAUUGAUAGGCAAUUUAUAAAAGGAAAAAAAGAAAGAAUACAAUGACAUCUAGAUCAGGGGUGUCAAACUCAUUUUGGUCCGGGGGCCGUAUCCAACCGGAUCAGAAAACUCAUGGCAUAUAAACCCCAAAAUAACAAUAAGUUUAAAUAUUUGUGCAGAAAAACACAAAUCUAUUACAGAAAUCUUUUUUAAUUGAUGAACUCUUUCUUUUACAAAAUAUUAUAAUAUUAUGAACAACCUGAAACUUUAAGAAAAAUACAAUUUCAACACAAAGUUUUAACAUGAACUUGUUUAACAUUAACUUGUAUAAAAAUAGGAAUAAGUAAAUUUUUCUUGGAAAAUCCUGCACUCGGCUCCACUUUUCUCAUGUUGGACAUUUUUCUGAUGAGGGUGUCACGGUCAACAGUCAAAACGAUCGUCCUUUAAGAGCGUUUGGAAAGAGACAAGUCUUCAUUUGUGCUGCUCUGGUGGGAGGGGCCACGUACAGAGACGCUGGAGACGCUGCUGUGAUAAACACCACAGAAAAUUAACAAGAUUUUAAUAAAAAGCAGAAUUUAAAUAUUUUAGUAGAAAAUCAGUCGAGGGCCAGAUUAAAGGUCUUGGAGGGCCGGAUCUGGCCCCCGGGCCGCAUGUUUGACACCUGUGAUCUAGAUAAAGAAAACCGAUUCCUCCCUUCGCGAUCAGAGCCCAAAGGAAGUCGUCAUCCGCAUGUUUCCAAACGUCUUCCGGGUUUGUGACGUAAGCGUGAAUAAAACCUACAGGUGGAUUGUUUAUCAGUUAUCACGAAGACACCAAAAACACAUUAGCGGACACUGUCAAAAGUUUUAUGAUCUGAAAGUCUGAAAACUCAAGAAUGUUCAACAAAUAUUCAACUAUAUUUGACCAUAAUUUUAUUUGAGAGCGAUUUGGAAAUCUCACCUUUUUAAAGUCCGUUCUUUCUGGUCAGAUGGUGUAAAAAUGAAGCUCUGAUAAAAGUUUAACAAAUUUUCAGAUAGAGCAGUGUCUAUUUUUGGCAUCAAACCCACCGGAAAGUUUGACAAAAAGUAUCAGUAAGGAAUAUUCCAACACAAACAAACCGAUGUCAGACAUGUUUUAGAAUCUAAUCAGUUUCUGCACCAAGACUUCUUUUUAAAUGUUCACUUUUUGCGACUCUGACAACAUUUUACCCUCUCCCCUCCUCCUCUUUCGUCCGCUCUGUCCUUUAAAAUGUCUCAUGUCACUGUUUCACCGAUACUAGUCAGACUCACUCUCCCAUUUCAGACCACGUCACAAUAGAAGUAGCUUUGUUAAGUCGAAUGGGUCCUUAUUCUGCAUGCCAGGGCAUAUUGUAAUAUAAAUAGAAGUGUUUUAUGCCAAAUGUGCUAUUUAUUCAAUGCAAUGCAAUUAUAGUGGCCUGAAUAGUGCACAUGUAUCUGUUAAAAUCCCCCAGGGCUGUAUACAAAAAUGGGCAUGGAUUUUUGAACACGGCGUAUUUAAGAAAAGCUUAAUUUGAACUCUCUCUUUCAUUGAUUUUUAAGCAACUAUUAACUUUCUGAUAAUGGAGUAGUGUUGACAAAAAUAAUUAAAACAAUUUUGUUCUGUUAAGGAAGCUGUAUUUGUAUUUGUAAUUCCUCUAAACCUUCUUUUAAGACGGUCAAAUCAAGCAGCAAAUCACUUCUUCUCUGUUAAUUAAAACACAGGUUGGAUCACACAUUUUAAUAAAACACAGUUAAGAUCAUUAUAUUUAAGAUUUUACUAAAGAUUUUACACGUUGGUUCCCAGUUUGGACAAUUUUCAGGUUCAAAAUUUUACUUUCUGGUUGAAAAUCUUGGUGUUACACUUUUUUUCUCCCUUUCUUUAUUAAAUACAAAAACUGGAAUUAAAACAAAGGUUAUUAAAAUACAAAGAAAUACAAAGAAAUGAUUCUAACCUCCUCUACCCUCUCUUAUCCAAAAAGGGAUUUUAUAACUGUUUCCCCGCAGCCAUGGUCCUAAAUUCCUCUAAUAUACGCAGAGAUUAUUAUUUGACAAUUACAUUUAUAAGAAAGCGCCUUUAUUUGGUUGAAAUCACGUUUAAACUUUCAGAAAAAUGUGUUUUGUUUUUCUAAGUAUGAAUUUUGUCUAAAUCUUGGAUCGAAUACUCCCCAUUGUGAAGAACUCUCUACUUGCUGUAAUUUUUAACAUGUUUUUCAAGUCUGCUUCACAAAUUGCUUCUUGAUUUUUGUAAAACUAAUUAUAUUUACAACAUGUAUUAUCCCACUAAAUUAAGCAGAAAUGAGAGAAUCAUAAAAACAUGUUACACGCACUUUAAAGACGCUGUAUUUGUUUUUUCAGUCUCUCCUUUAAACCGGUCAAAUCUACAAUCCAGCACCAAAUACAUUUUCAUGGAUCGGUUUCCAAGAUAUCGGUCCAUUCGAUAUUCCAUUUUGGUCCAUAAAUUGGUGUAAUAAGAUGAUUUACUGACCAAUUAAACUAUUUUUUUUACAAAGCUGUUAUUUUUAAAGGCUUCAAUUGAUGUAGACUAGAGUAUUGACAGAUACUUAAAGCUGCAUUGUGUAACUUUUCUGAUGGGUCCGUCAAAUGCGUCGGUUUUGGAGUCGUUAUUGGAGUCGUUAUUGGAGUCGAUAUUGGAGUCGUUAUUGGAGUCGUUAUUGGAGUCGAUAUUUGAGUCGUUAUUGCUUUGUCUGGGAUGUUUCACAGUACGGCAUUAAACCUUUCUAUUGUCAUGGAGACCAAACCCCAGGCCAAGUGACAGGUCAGAUCUGCGGAGAGGCGACCCCACUCACAGUCAGAAUGUCUGUUUUUCUAGGUAUUUUUGAGCUGUAAAACCACCUGUAAUUGAAUAAAUAUAAGCUCGAUAUGUUUAAUUUCAUACUGCGGAACAUUCCAGAAAGAGCAAUGACGUCUCCAUAGAAACAAGCAGAUGAUGGAUCCCCAAGCAAAGUUACACAGUGCGUCUUUUAAAGCCAAAAUAUCACGAUCAGAACUGAAAAACCUGCGUGCAUUUCUGUUAAUUUGUAUAUUUAAUUGAAGAUUUUUUAUUUUUUUUUUAAAUUCAUAGCGACUUCUCUUUGGCCUAAAUAUUCAAAAUUAAUACCAGGUUUGUUUCUAUAUUUUGUGUGGUGUUCUGUGCCCAUUUUUGAUACAGUCCGAUGCUUCAAACGUGCCAUAUUUUUGUGUUUACUUGUUUACAGUUGUUCUAAUGUGAAAUGAAGUGUCCGGUCCAAUGCAUGAGCGUUCUGUGUGCUGCUUCUGUCUGAAAAUACAACUAGAGUUUACAAUGUUCUGGGGCCACUCAGUAUUAAACAUGUUCAACUGUU
Long non-coding RNA from Boleophthalmus pectinirostris (great blue-spotted mudskipper), 6371 nucleotides. RefSeq lists it as uncharacterized. Lineage: Eukaryota; Metazoa; Chordata; Actinopteri; Gobiiformes; Gobiidae. The transcript has 2 exons. The record is from RefSeq and is a predicted model, not a curated record.